This 373-nucleotide ribosomal RNA is filed under the name uncultured organism. RNAcentral's name for it is "partial 16S ribosomal RNA". It matches the Rfam family "Bacterial small subunit ribosomal RNA", at positions 527 to 896 of the family's 1533-position model. The record is from RNAcentral.
GUAGGUGGCAAGCGUUGUCCGGAAUUAUUGGGCGUAAAGCGCGCACAGGCGGUUCUUUAAGUCUGAUGUGAAAGCCCACGGCUCAACCGUGGAGGGUCAUUGGAAACUGGAGAACUUGAGUACAGAAGAGGAAAGCGGAAUUCCACGUGUAGCGGUGAAAUGCGUAGAGAUGUGGAGGAACACCAGUGGCGAAGGCGGCUUUCUGGUCUGUAACUGACGCUGAGGCGCGAAAGCGUGGGGAGCAAACAGGGAUUAGAUACCCUGGUAGUCCACGCCGUAAACGAUGAGUGCUAAGUGUUAGGGGGUUUCCCGCCCCUUAGUGCUGCAGCUAACGCAUUAAGCACUCCGCCUGGGGAGUACGGCCGCAAGGCUG